GUCCAGGGGCGGGAAUCGAACCCACACCCUUCUGCUUACCGGGCAAGGCCUUGUCCACUCGGCUACCCUGGA
RNAcentral lists this transfer RNA (72 nucleotides) under Cordylochernes scorpioides. RNAcentral describes it as "tRNA-Thr". The record is from RNAcentral. Lineage: Eukaryota; Metazoa; Arthropoda; Arachnida; Pseudoscorpiones; Chernetidae.